AUGGCAGGCAACGGAGCCAUCGUCGAGAAGGACCCGCUCAACUGGGGCGCGGCGGCGGCCGAGCUCACCGGCAGCCACCUCGACGAGGUGAAGCGGAUGGUGGCGCAGUUCCGCGAGCCCGUGGUGAAGAUCGAGGGCGCCAGCCUCCGCGUCGGCCAGGUGGCGGCCGUGGCCCAGGCCAAGGACGCGUCGGGCGUCUCCGUGGAGCUCGACGAGGAGGCGCGGCCCCGCGUCAAGGCCAGCAGCGAGUGGAUCCUCAGCUGCCUCGCCGGCGGCGGCGACAUCUACGGCGUCACCACCGGCUUCGGCGGCACCUCCCACCGCCGCACCAAGGACGGGCCCGCCCUCCAGGUGGAGCUCCUCAGGCAUCUGAACGCUGGAAUCUUUGGCCCCGGCGCCGAUGGCCACUCGCUGCCGGCGGAGGUGUCCCGUGCGGCCAUGCUCGUGCGCAUCAACACCCUCCUCCAGGGCUACUCCGGCAUCCGCUUCGAGAUCCUCGAGGCCAUCACCAAGCUCAUCAACACCGGCGUCAGCCCCUGCCUCCCGCUCCGGGGCACCAUCACCGCCUCCGGCGACCUUGUGCCACUGUCCUACAUCGCCGGGCUCAUCACCGGACGCCCCAACGCGCAGGCCACCACUGUUGAUGGAAAGAAGGUGGACGCCGCCGAGGCAUUCAAGGCCGCUGGCAUCGAGGGCGGCUUCUUCAAGCUCAACCCCAAGGAGGGUCUCGCCAUUGUCAACGGCACGUCCGUGGGCUCUGCACUCGCGGCCACGGUGCUGUUCGACUGCAACGUCCUCGCUGUUCUCUCCGAGGUCCUGUCCGCCGUCUUCUGCGAGGUGAUGAACGGCAAGCCCGAGUUCACCGACCACCUCACUCACAAGCUCAAGCACCACCCCGGCUCCAUCGAGGCCGCGGCCAUCAUGGAGCACAUCCUGGCCGGCAGCGCCUUCAUGGGCCACGCCAAGAAGGUCAACGAGAUUGACACGCAGCUCAAGCCCAAGCAAGACAGGUACGCGCUCCGCACGUCGCCGCAGUGGCUCGGCCCCCAGAUCGAGGUCAUCCGGUCUGCCACCAAGUCCAUCGAGCGCGAGGUCAACUCCGUCAACGACAACCCCGUCAUCGACGUCCACCGUGGCAAGGCACUCCAUGGCGGCAACUUCCAGGGCACGCCCAUCGGUGUGUCCAUGGACAACACCCGUCUCGCCAUCGCCAACAUUGGCAAGCUCAUGUUCGCGCAGUUCUCGGAGCUCGUCAACGAGUUCUACAACAACGGGCUGACCUCCAACCUGGCAGGCAGCCGCAACCCGAGCCUGGACUACGGCUUCAAGGGCACGGAGAUCGCCAUGGCUUCCUACUGCUCUGAGCUCCAGUACCUUGCCAACCCGGUGACCAACCAUGUCCAGAGUGCUGAGCAGCACAACCAGGACGUGAACUCUCUGGGCCUUGUCUCGGCCAGGAAGACCGCCGAGGCCGUGGACAUCCUCAAGCUCAUGUCCUCCACAUACAUGGUGGCGCUGUGCCAGGCCAUCGACCUCCGCCACCUGGAGGAGAACAUCAAGACCUCCGUGAAGAACUGCGUGACGCAGGUGUCGAAGAAGGUGCUGACCAUGAACCCCACCGGCGACCUCUCCAGCGCGCGCUUCAGCGAGAAGAGCCUCAUCACCGCCAUCGACCGCGAGGCCGUGUUCAGCUACGCCGACGACGCCUGCAGCGCCAACUACCCACUGAUGCAGAAGCUGCGCGCCGUGCUGGUCGACCACGCCCUGACCGCCGGCCCCGGCGAGGCCGAGAGCGAGGCCACGGUGUUCUCCAAGAUCAACAAGUUCGAGGAGGAGCUGCGGUCGGCCCUGCCGCGGGAGAUCGAGGCCGCCCGCGUGGCCUUCGAGAACGGCACCGCGCCCAUCCCCAACCUGAUCAAGGAGAGCAGGUCGUUCCCCCUGUACCGCUUCGUCCGCGAGGAGCUCGGCUGCGUGUACCUCACCGGCGAGAAGCUGCUGUCCCCCGGCGAGGAGUGCACCAAGGUCUUCCUGGGCAUCAGCCAGAACAAGCUCAUCGACCCCAUGCUGGAGUGCCUCAAGGAGUGGAACGGCGAGCCCCUGCCCAUCAACGUCUGA
This 2115-nucleotide ribosomal RNA is filed under the name Triticum aestivum (bread wheat). RNAcentral's name for it is "partial small subunit ribosomal RNA". Lineage: Eukaryota; Viridiplantae; Streptophyta; Magnoliopsida; Poales; Poaceae. The record is from RNAcentral.